RNAcentral lists this ribosomal RNA (253 nucleotides) under uncultured bacterium. Its description in RNAcentral is "partial 16S ribosomal RNA". It matches the Rfam family "Bacterial small subunit ribosomal RNA", at positions 524 to 776 of the family's 1533-position model. The record is from RNAcentral.
UACGGAGGGUGCAAGCGUUAUCCGGAUUCACUGGGUUUAAAGGGUGCGUAGGCGGGCUGGUAAGUCAGUGGUGAAAUCUCCGGGCUUAACUCGGAAACUGCCAUUGAUACUAUCAGUCUUGAAUACCGUGGAGGUCAGUAGAAUAUGUCAUGUAGCGGUGAAAUGCUUAGAUAUGACAUAGAAUACCAAUUGCGAAGGCAGCUGGCUACACGAAUAUUGACACUCAGGCACGAAAGCGUGGGGAUCAAACAGG